Molecule: long non-coding RNA, 4254 nt
Organism: Callithrix jacchus (white-tufted-ear marmoset)
Lineage: Eukaryota; Metazoa; Chordata; Mammalia; Primates; Cebidae
Source: RefSeq, a predicted model, not a curated record
ACACACUCCUACGUUUCUGUGCAGUCCCCAUUUCCGUGUGGGGUCAGUUAAAAGUGACAUUGUGAAGUAGUCAAAAGUUAAGCCUUGGGUACCAUUGUGAAGCUGGCACAGGGUGCCCUAGGUGACAUUGUGAAGUAGGCAAAAGGCAUUUUAUUCAUUCAAUCAGCAUUGGUUGGGUCCAUGCUCCAGGUACCCCUGAUAUAAAGACAAGUAAGAGCACGCCUCGCCACAGACAAAAAGAACUGAGCCAUACAGACAAACAGGCAGGCUCUCUCUGUUGCCCAGGCUGGAGUGCAGCACAGUCUCAGCUUACUGCAACCUCUGCCUCCUAGGCUCAAGUGAUUCUCACCUCAACCUCUAGAGGAGAAGCUGGGCUAUGAGGGUUUCUGCCCAUUCGCUCUGCAUUGAGCUGGGAAGGACGGUCUAUGGUAGAAGCUUCCUGGAACAACUGCUGGAAUAAGGAUCCAGAGUGGAAGGUGGAAGCUCCCUCUUGGGAUAAAGGAUCCAGAGUUUGAAAAAUAAAAAAAAAAAGGAACUGGCACUCAGUUCUCUUCAGGAUGGCUAUAGUGGAGCCACUUACGUGAAUUCUCAAGGCUGGAUAUGCAAAACAGUUGCCCUCUGGUGGAAGACAAAGUCUUUGUCUUCUGAGAAAAACCAUCUCCCUGCUUACGGAGGCCAGUGGAUUCCAUCCUAGAGGCUGUGUUGACUGUAUCUCCAAAUAGGCAGUAACGAGGCAUUUUGAUUCCCACGACUCCAGCAGCGCAGGGCCCUGAAAUGAAAGACAGAAAGCAGGAAGUAGAGGCAAUAGAAAUUGCAGAGUAGAGUGAAAACAGGUGAGCUUAUCGCCUGGUCACAAUCCUGAAUACUCCUGUAAUAGAGAAGUGGCUGAGAAUGUAAAAUGUGAACUGGGACUUUUGCUUUAAAUGGAUGAAUCCAAUGAAGCAUCGUUAUUGAAUGCAUGCGAUCAUAAAGUAUUCUGCUCUCGCAAAGAGAACAACGUGCAGCAAACAGGAAGACGUCGGAGACCCAGAUCACAAAGGCGAUUUUAAAUAGAAGACUCUCAGGAAGGAUGAAGACGGGCCCACUGCCUGCUAACUGUGCUAAACCACACGACCCUGAACUUCACACUGAUGGAGAGCACUGUAGACUUGAAGCCUCAAUGGUUCAAGCUUGUUUUAUUUUUAUUUUAAGGUGGCAUUUCUGGGAUUGGUGGCAUGACAAUGGAAGACAGAAGACAAGACAAAGGCAUGACCUUCCUUAAGCAUUUCAUGAGCCAGGCGAAUGCAGCUGAAGGGGGAAGCCUGUGGCACGAGGAGGUUCCAGCAGGCUGAAGGCGAGACUAUGCAGUGCGGCAUAUUAGGUAGGAAAGAAGGGUUAUUCAGUCCAGUAUCUCCAUGAAAGGACAGAAUGCAAGGAGCUGCUGGUUGAAGAAGUUACAGACUAACUCAGAAACUGCAAAGCUGGGUUUUAGGCAACGCCUUGCAAAAGCCAAUCUAGAUAACUUCUGAGUUCCUCUCUUACUAAGCUUUUCCAUAACACUUGUAACUCAUCUCAAAUCUUGAUGUUCAAGGCUACUGAAUUAAACUAAGAGACAGCCUCUUAGGGGUCCCUACACAACAAACUGCCACCUAGCUUGGUCUAUGAACAAAGAGCCUAGCUCAGGUACUUAUUACUAAUAGCUGAGUCUCAGCCAGUCGCAGUAGCUGAGCUUCAGCCAAUCACAGGCUGUCAACUGAUUGGACCUUGACCAAAUCAGGGAAACAUGGAGUUGUGACCAAUCAAGUUGUUUCUGUUUCUCACUUCUGUUUUCUGUCUACAAACACUGCCUGCCCAGCUGCCCAGGGAAGCUCUCUGAACCUCUUCUGGUUCGAAGGGCCAUCUGAUUUGAAAAUUGUUCGUUGCUCAAUUAAACUGUGUUAAAUUAUUUAGUAUGCAUAAAGCUUUUCUUUUAACAAGGCUAUGUAGCUUUCAUGGUCUUUGCAAGUGACCCAUGUACUUCAUGUACUACUGCAGUGGCGGGCAGGGGAGGGGGUAUAAAUAUUAUAGGAGUUUCACCAGCUGUGCUUUUUCCCCUCAUAGAUAAUCUAAUCCACUUAAGGUACUAUAAUAUUUUAGUGGGAAAAUGGAUAGGAGUUAGGGGUGGGGAGAGAGGAAAUGAGGAGGAGACAAAUGAAAUCAUAGGUGUGAUUUAAAUAGGAAGUCCAAAGCUUCUUGUUUUUGUACACAUUUGCUGUGUAUCAUUUCAAUAGUCAGAGGUGCUCUCAAAGGUCUUGUUCUUAGAGCUCUCCAGGAGCUAAGUAUCUAAGUGUCUCAGGAUGUAUCAUGGGGCCUCACAUUUGGCAAAAAGAAUUAAGACUAAACAUUAGGUGAAGCUGAUCACACAUGAAGACCUUUUAUCCUUUCUGAUUUACGUGGUGCACAGCAGUACAUGUGGGUCCCUAUUUGUUAAGAUGCUCAACUCCAUACCAGAGUGAACUCCAAUGCGAAUCCAUAUUGGGAGGCCAGGGAGAUGCUCCAGCUCAAAGGUCCCCAUGAAGCUGAGGAUUUCCAAGGCCAUCUUGGCAAUGUCUACCGCAUGCCGAUUGCCAUUUCUCUUAGGCAAACCACUGGCCACCAUGUAAGCAUCACCAAUGGUUUCCACCUGUGGAAACAGUUGCUCAUGAGUGGCUCUGCCACUUUGAAAAGCAUAGAGGUUCAACAGAAUCAGUUAAUCACAUAUCACACACAAAAAGUGAUUAGGGAACACAGUACGAGCAUAGCCCUUUACACUUUUUCUGGGGCCAGUUCAAUCUGUUCUACGCUGAUUUCUUUGCGGUUUUUAUAGUCUAGUUAAUGGAUGAUAAAAUAGCUAAAAAGAAAUUUAGCCGUUUAAAAGUACUUCACAGUUAUACAAAUUGUCCAGAUGUGGUGACAAUUCUAGAAAUGUUCAAAUGAAUAAUCUGAAUGGCUUUAUGUAAUUUGAGGAACACCCUGCAUUACCUGAAAAGUAAUCCUUUAGCAAAUGUCUACACACUGUUUGACAGAAUAUUUUGUAAUGUGUAAUUGUACACAUUUUUGUAGCAUGGUUUUCUAUUCAUUAUAACCUCAGUGUCUUCUCUGCUUCAUUUCUAGUCAGCCUAAACACUGCCUAUUUUUUGGAGGCGAUUUAAGAGUAUGCCAUUUUGUCUAAAUUUAGUAUCCCAAAUUCAUUCCUGCUGCACUUCCUGUUGUACCUUUUCUGCCGCUUCUUAAAGUUAAAUGGUAAUUUUGACUUCUCACCCCUCUAAUUCUUCUACUUCUAUUCACUUUUAGCUCAGAGUCAACCAUCAAUUCACUAAAUGUAAACUAGAGAGGACAAGAGCAGUAACAGAAACAGCCAAUUCAGGCUCUGAUGACCUCAGGGAGUACCAUGACUUGUUUCAGCCUGUUAGGAGAUGAGGCUACCUUGUAGACAUCAUGAUGAUCGACAAUGUGGUCAAAACUCUUAUAGAUGUCGUUAAGCAUGUCCACCACUUCCAUGGGUGUGCUGUAUUUGCAGAUGGUAGUGAAGCCUACAAUAUCGCUGAAGUAGAUUGUAACUUCCUCAUAUAGUUCCGGCUCCACAAUGCCUUUCUCCUUCAGCGACUUGACCACUAGCCUAGAUAAGGAAGGAAAAAAAAUGCCUUCAACUUCAGCAAAUUUUUUCUUGUUUCACAAAAAUCCUUCAGAUAGUAGGAAUUGUCUACAAAGAAUUCUAGAAUUUGAGACUUCCAGUGAAUCAAGUGAAUAGGAAACAAAGAGAGGUUGUGUACAUCACAUACAUGAACAUUACACACAUACACAUAUAACACGUGUUGUGAACACAGGUGAAUAUAGGCAGGUUCAACAUUAACUUAGUGUUUGAUUAUUAACACUAAUAUAUAUAAGCAGAUAAGUUUCGUACCAUAAAGACCCUCAUAUAUAUAUAUAUACACACACAUAUAUACUUGCCCACUUUUGCUUCUCUAUUGAUAAUCAGCUUCUUACAGAUAUGGCUCUAUAUGCAGAAGCUGAGGAGAGUGUGGUAUUACUUAAAUCACCACAGGUGUUUGAUCUGAAUUUCUCAACAAAGUCGAUAGUUUUACUCUCCUGGCAUAUGUAACAUGGCAUUGCUUAACAUUACUGUGAAAUAAUAAUGUAUUUAAAUAUAAAUUUUGAUAUAUUCUGAACCAGAGUUUAUUUGAUAUAUUUUGAAACCAGAUUUGGGUACUUUAAAAAGCAAAAUCAAUUAUGCAAAUAAAUUAAAUGAUGCUAAAA